Molecule: non-coding RNA, 45 nt
Organism: Schistosoma curassoni
Lineage: Eukaryota; Metazoa; Platyhelminthes; Trematoda; Strigeidida; Schistosomatidae
Source: Rfam
AUCCAGCUGACGAGUUCAAAAUUAUAUGAAACGCGUGUCAUGGAU